This is a small nuclear RNA of Mangifera indica (mango), 161 nucleotides long. RefSeq annotates it as U1 spliceosomal RNA. The record is from RefSeq and is a predicted model, not a curated record. The transcript has a single exon. Lineage: Eukaryota; Viridiplantae; Streptophyta; Magnoliopsida; Sapindales; Anacardiaceae.
AUACUUACCUGGGCGGGGUCAAUGGGUGAUCAAGAAGGUCCAUGGCCUAGGGUAGUGGUCCUCAUUGCACUUGGAAGGUUCACCACUCUAAGGUCUCCCCGAGUGGGAGAGCCUGCGUCAUAAUUUGUGUUAGCGGGGGCCUGCGUUCGCGCGGCCCCUUC